AAUUCAGCAAAAGUGUGAAUGCAUGCUUGAUACACAUACACCAAUUAAUCUGCACAUAGUAAGGGCAAUCACCCCAACAAGAUAAGAACUGGAUUUCAUCACCAGAUUCUUGCCCAAAGUAGGUGAAUCAAUUCUCACAUAGCUAUCACCCUAAUUAAAAUUAAUUAGACGUUGGCCCCUAGGGACAUUCGAGCUCAAUAGGACGAAGAUCACCGAAAGUUGCUCCAAUUUUGCUCUGUGGCUCAGUUGAUGUCUAGGCAAGCUUUGUCCCAAGGGAGACAGUUCAUCUGUUCGAGGCAAGUGGUUUUUAAGUGGGACCUUUGCAACGCAUCGUGACCCCCCCACUUACCUGGGAGCUUACCUGGUCAACUCAGUUCAUUAGACCGGAUUGGAGGCUUAGGUGCCCUCUUCAAACUAGUUAGGAGCUGUCUAGUGAUUUUAGGAUAAAUACAAGGAUUUGAUGUGUUUUUCUUUUAGUGCAUGCUUGACUGUACGUGACUGAUCCAAAAAAGUAUUGGUGCAUGCUAGGGUGUCGUUUCAGAUCUCCUGAACUAUUAUCUUUUGACCCUAAAAUAGAACGGACCCUUAGGAAUCUUCGAGCUAAGAUCAGAACAUUAGAAUCAACUAUACCCGGUAUGAUUUAAUAAGGAUGCACUGUGUCUGGCUGAAGACGUUAAACUUAGCACUUGUUGGGAGGCAACCCAAUUUUCAUAAGUUAUUUUUGCACAUUUUCUUGUCGAUGUCCUCAUAUUACUGAUGCAACUAAGGUACAAUGCUUCUAUCUUCCAUAUGCAUCAUAUUUUCGUCCAAAAUAAAAUAACGAAAAAAAAUUAUAAUAAUAUAAUAUUGAGGACAAUGUCUGAUCUAGGUUGGGGGGUAUGGGAUUCGAAUUUUUUGAAAAUUUUUUUUGCAUUUUCGCAUUUUUAAAUAAGUAUGUUGAUUCAAAAAAAAAAAAACCUAAAUUCUUAUGCUUUAGUGCUGAAAUAAUAAACACACAAAGUAUAUAAAAUCUAAAAAAGCCCAAUAACUAGUCAGGAGUAAGUCAAUUUGAGUUCUUUUUAUUAAAAGUUCUUUUAGUGANNNNNNNNNNNNNNNNNNNUUUGGAAUUUCACAACACACAUGGCCUGCACUUCUAAGGGUUAGGUUCAACAUGAUGUUGUUAAGUCUGGUAGCAACCUUGAGUCCUGAUGAAUCAUACCUAUCUAAUUCACUAUUAAAAAAAAAAAGAGAGAGAGAUAAGUGAAUUUAGUCAGGUACAUCGAAAAGGGCUACCUAUUGUCAAAGGUCAGCGGGCUUGUAAUAAGGAACCCGAGCGUAGGUCCGUAGGGGAGUCUUGAUGCCCAACACCUUAUGCCAUCUGGUGUGGGAGUGUUGACUGAGUGCUCGCUACACGGAGGAAUCAUUACAAGAGUAAAAGUGCGUAAUUUAUAAAUCUACAAAAAAAAAAGAAAGNNNNNNNNNNNNNNAAAAAAAGAGAAAAAGAGAAAAUAAUAUUGACCUUGAAAAAGACGAUAGUGUGAAAGCCGUCGUUGUAAAAAUUCGAGUAAACUGGAAUAUUACAGAUAAAGCCCAUGAGGUAUUAAAGUAAACAUCCACAACUCUCGAAAUCCUGCAAGGUAGGAUGAUUUUGAAUCAGUGAUUAGGUCUUAUCUGACCAAUUCUUGGAAGCUACUAGUUUUAGCAGUAUUUUGGAGAAUCUAAAGCCUUAGCUUGUGUAUGGUCCAGAUAUCACCGAGCACCCAAGUAUAAAUUAGCCUUACAACUCUCUAACGGAAACUUAAUGACUUCAACUUAAGUUGCAUCUUGACCUAAGAUUUGGGCUGACUUAGUAAUAAAUCUUUGUGUGCUUUUUAAAUUCUUGGCAUUAAUGCAUUUGAAAUUAGAUUUUAUAAAACAAUAAAAUAAAUUAUUUGGGUAGAGACAGCAGUUUGUGGGUAUCUGAGCCGGAAACCCUCACGAGACAAAACUCGUCCACUAGGGCCACCUAGGGGUUUAAAGCCUUAUUGCAUACGGUAAAUGUAAUCGCGAUUCCUGCGAAAGUGAGUUAGUUUUUAUUUUGCUUGAGGACUAGCAAAAUGUAGGUUGGGGGGUGUGAUAAGUGCUAAAUAAUGCAUAAAUUAAUAUCUUAUUCAUAGCACUUAUCAUUAUUUUAAUCCACAUAUUUUGUAAAUUCAAUUAAAAAAAUUGUGUUACCUUCAUCAUUGCAUUUUAAUAAAUUAUUAAAGGUAAUUCAAGUUUGAUUUGAUUAUUUAUUGAUUGAGUCUAAUAUAUGCAGGUUGAGUCAAGUUCAUUAGGGAUUAUUCCUGGACCUAAACCACAUGCACCCCGCAAAUCAAGACCCUCUGAUUCAGUCACCCAACUCUUUUCCCACAUGAUCCUAUUUUAAUAAAAUUCCUUCGAUCAUUUGUCUCAUAGAUCUCAAAGCGUACCAUCUAUCGUCGCACGAAUCCCAAAGCUCAACCUAUCUCCUCCAAUCACACGUCAUCCUUCCCACGCUCACAUCUAAACUUUCCUCCCAUCCGCGUUCCUUCCAACAUCUUCCCAUCCAGCUCUCAGCCGAAUCCCAAGCUUCAUCUGGAUCAUUUCCCAGCCGAUAUCCUCUCAGUCCACAAUCUUCAUCUUCAUCUCCCCAUUCCGUGGAUCACGCCCCACUCAUCUCCUCUUCAUUCCAGGUUCAACUCCAUCCACGGAUAAGUUCUCUCCCCUGUUUCACGUUCAAACCAUUCUUAACCAUCCCUAUCCCAAAGCAACUCCCAGCCGCAUCCCAGCCGGAUGAGCAUCUCAUGUUCAUCUUCAUCCCGUGAGCUCUUCCUCCCGUUCGCGAUAACCAUCAACCACCCACGGGAUAAGCUCCAAUCCAGCUGCAGUUGCAUUCAUUCCGGGAUCUGACCGAGUUCAAUCCUCCGCAUGCGUCCAAGAUCCUCUCCGCAGUGAAGAAGUGCUGAUUCCUUCCAUCAUCCACGGAUCAUUCCGUUCGCGAUGGCGUUUAACGCAUCCUCUGUUUCAACAGAACAGAAACAUCACGAGCAUCUUCUCAGCCGAAUGCACCCAUCCCCAGUUCCACAUCACCUCCCAGCUUUUCCUCAACCUUAUCCCGGAUCUUCCGCAUCCUCCGCUAAUCUCACGCGGUCUUUCUUCCUAUCUGAAUUCCCCUGCAUCCGCGAUUCAUCCCGUAAGCAUCCCGAACAACAUGGCAUUCAAAUGCAUCCUCCCCUGCUUUGAAACAGACCACGUUGAUUCUCCCAUAUCCAGCUUCUCUCCCGUCCGCGAUUCAAGGACGAUCUCCCAGCCUUCAUCCCGUCCGCAAUGAACUCUCGUCAUCCACAGGAUAAGGCCCAGGUGUUCAUUCCGGAUCAGCCUCCAUCCUAAUCCCGAACCUCACGGACCAGCAAACACGGCGUCGAAGGAUUUCCUGCCAGCCGUGAGCUUCAUCCUCCUUCCAGAUCAUGUCCACCGUCUGCGCAUAUCCAGGAUCCUUCCACGAUUAGAACCGUCCCAAGUUCAUCAGCCCUCUUCCCUCGUCACUCCGUUUCUUCCGGAUUGAACCGAACCUCCACGCUCCCAGUUCAUCCCGCGUCCGAGAUAUUCUCCAACGUCCUCCGGAUCACAUCUUCCCAUUCCGAGAACACACAGCCAAUGGAUUAGAUCUCCUCCCAUCCGCGUGCACAUCCAUUCCGUGAUCAUCUCAUCACCCGCGAUGGAUUCUUCCCGAGCCGAUCCACAGCUUCAAGCCAACGAAUGCAUCUCAGCCGGAUCAGUUCCAUCCAGCAACCAACUUCUUCUUCCAAACCAAACUCCCUCUAAAUCCGUCAUCCGAGCUCCAAGUCCAUCCCAACUUCUCCCGCGUCCGGAUCUCCCGCAGCAACAAAUUUCAGCUUCACUCGAUCCUUAUCCUCCCACGCACGUGAAGAAAGAGAAGAGAAGCGAGGGGGAGGUGCAGCCUAUAAAAGGCCCAGCGUGAACCGAGAAGAGGCAUCUCUCCUCAGAUUCUUCUUCCCCCACCGGGGGGGGAAGGCUUCUAUUCCCAUCUCUCCGGAGGUCAAGUUCCCACCGAAAUACAAGAGAGAGAGGAAGCCAGAGGGAGAAAGGAGGGAGAACCCAGUCGUGAUGGGAGCCUGCCGCUGUGCUGCUGCUGCCGUCUCCAACUCCAUGGAAGGCUGAUCUUUUCUCCAGGGCUGGAUGCAGCCCUAACACAGGGACAUGGGUUUUAUAUUUUAUUUUAUGUUCUUGGAGUUGUAUGAACUUAUUGUUUUUAAUGGGAAUCUUCUUUUGAAUCAUAUUUAAUUUCUGUGAUUUUAAAUAUGAUGUUUAUACAACUGUUCUUCAUGAUCACUAAGUAAAUAUAAGAUAGUCCAUGCUUAAGGAAGAUGCGAUGUGCUACCACCUUAGAUUAGGGUAGACAUUUCAUGCUAAACUAAAGAUGGAUUAUGCCCAAAUUACUUUUGUGAAUUUUUAUUUAAAUGCUUAUUAGGCUUGUAGCCAAUUUGCAUGUUUAUCCAAGAAUGAAUUAAAAUAUAAAUAACCCUUGUCUCGAUGUUAGUGGUGAAUUCCUUGCUCUAGGUUCUCCCAAAUUAAUAUCAUUUUAAUUGCAUUUUCUCUAUUAAAUUCCUUAGUUUAAUUUUCUUCACAAACUCUUCUUUUUAAAUAUUUUUAUUUUUAAAGAAAACAACUAUACCCCAAUCCCUGUGGAUCGAUACCCGUAAUCACUAUCCUACCAGAUACGUGCUAUUGCGUGGUCUUUAAAGUUGACUAUCAANNNNNNNNNNNNNNNNNNNNNAUUGGUAGCAUAGUUGUUUUUCUUUUUAUUAAAAAAAUUUUUCAAAAAAAAAAUUUCAAAAAAUAAAAAAAAUAAAAAAAAUAGUUUCUAUUUUUACUUUCCUUAUCUCCUUCUCCCCUCUUACUAAUUUUUGAUUUUUCUUGGUAUCAUUUGAUCAGGAACCGAAGAUGAAGUUUGGAACAAUUAGAAAGGGAACAGCUGAAAAAGAAAUACUGUAAAGGUUUGCUUUAAAAAUUGCUGGGGAAAUUCCUCUUGGUAACAUCUGAACCUUUCUUAUUUAAAUUGAUUCCCAAUUAGCCUGAAAUUUUGUGGUGAUUGUUUGAUUUUAAUUUCAGCAAAAGUGUGAAUGCAUACACAUACAUCAAUUAAUCCGCACAUAGUAAGGGCAAUCACCCCAACAAGAUAAGAACUGGAUUUCAUCACCAGAUUCUUGCCCAAAUUAGGUGAAUCAAUUCUCACAUAGCUAUCACGUUAAAUAAAAUUAAUUAGACAUUGGCCCCUAGGGACAUUCGAGCUCAAUAGGAUGAAGAUCACCGAAAGUUGCACCAAUUUCGCUCUGUGGCUUAGUUGAUGUCUAGGCAAGCUUUGUCCCUUUAAGGGAGACAGUUCAUCUGUUCGAGGCAAGUGGGUUUUAAGUGGGACCUUUGCAAACGCAUCGUGACCCCUCCACUUACCUGGGAGCUUACCUGGUCAACUAAGUUCAUUAGACCGGAUUGGAGGCUUAGGUGCCCUCUUCAAAUCAGUUAGGAGCUGUCUAGUGAUUUUAGGGCAAACAUGAGGAAUUGAUGUGUUUUUCUUUUAAUGCAUGCUUAACUGCACCUGAUGCGUCUGGCUGAAGACGUUAAACUUAGCGCUUGUUGGGAGGCAACCCAAUUCUCAUAGGUUAUUUUUGCAUAUUUUCUUGUCGCAUUUUUUUAUUUUCUUAACAGGAUCCCUCAUAUUACUGAUGCAACUACGGUAAAAUGCUUCUAUCCCCCACAUGCAUCAUAUUUUCGUCCAAAAUA
This 5781-nucleotide long non-coding RNA is filed under the name Phoenix dactylifera (date palm). Its description in RNAcentral is "long non-coding RNA (PDAC_LNC011441)". Lineage: Eukaryota; Viridiplantae; Streptophyta; Magnoliopsida; Arecales; Arecaceae. The record is from RNAcentral.